GUGUCAUAACUGUGUGGCUAGUUUUCUCUGGGUAGUUCUUAUCCAUAGUGUCCUUACAGAAAAAUCUCUUGGUACAGGAGCAAGAGACAUUCUGAUCCAAACUGAGAAUCUGCUCUUUCAGGAAAUUGCUGGAGCCAGUCAGUGGCAAAAAGUGAGUAGGCUAAGUGGCACAGCUAAGUGUAGGCUGUGGCUAAGUUUCAGGUAGAAGCCAGCAAAACUCAGUGUAACCUAGUAUGUCCCUUUCUGACAUGAAAGGUGUUGGUUUUGUUGGUGCUUUUUAGUUAGAGCAGUUGAAAUGAAUGACCACCUGCUGAUCUCUGCCAGUGUCUUCAAGCUAAAUGCCACUGUUGGUUCUCCUCAACUUUGGUAUCCUCUUUGCCUGUCAUCCUACAACCUCCAGCUGAACCCAGUUACCUGCUGGUCACUGGUUGUGCUGUUCAGUAUAAGGGCCAAAGGGUGAUGUUUGGGGACAAGAGGUGGAAUUUGAGGAGUUCAUCUUAAGACUGUAAGAGUGUUAAUUCUGAUAAUCUGGUUACCAGGAGCAAGGGGUGGAUUCUGUGCACUCCACACUCAGUGUUAACACAGCGCUCACAGGAGGCAGACAUUUGAAGUUAGCUAUCUCUUGGUUCAGUCUCACUGGUUGGAUUCUACCAAUCUCUCUUUUGUAAAUGCUGGAAUAAGAAGUAGCUGUAUGCAUAAACCAGUGCAAUAGAUCUACCUCUGAUGACUAAGGAGAUAAAUACAAGCCAGUGAGGUUUGCAAGAAAUCGCUACAAGAUCAGCAGCCAGAGCACCAUCUGUGCACACAGCUUAUCCGUACCACCCAGGUUUGUGACAAAGGAAUGUGUCAGCUUCUGCUUUUACGGACCAGCUAAAAGUGUCCUUCAUGCUAAGAACUUCAAUGAAAUUCUACAACUACUCUCUAAUGUCAGAUCUAAUCACGUCAUCCAGCAAGUCUGACUGGUACAGGCUUCAUUCAGCAAGAAGCUCUUUGUGCAGUACUGCUUUCGCAAGUCAGAAGUAUGAAGGUUCAGCUGCUCGUCGGUGUCACCUCCCGACCCGGCUAGUUGCAGAAUGGUCAUCUCAGCGUCCUGGGAAAAUGGGCUGUAACAGUAGGGACAACAGCUUAAGGAAUCACUGAACACUGUCCUCAUAGGACAACUGCAUCCUGGCUUCAAAGACAGGAGUGAAAUUUGAAUCAGCAAGAGUUCCUCUGUCCACAGAUAAGAGAGGGAGAGAAAGAGACGGAGCAAGAGGGUCUUCCUGAGCUAUUUUUGCGCCUAGAGAUAUCAGGCUGUUACACCCAGUACACUUGCUCUGUAGCGUGGACUUGACUCUUUCCUCAAGGUUUCACCCAGCCACUUAAUUAUACUUCCUUCUGUUCAGUGAAGCACCUUAACUGGAGCCUCUGGCCAAAGUUGGCUACUAGUGAAAGGAAAGCAAACUCUGCAAGAAGAAUAUGGCCUGAUUGGAGAGUGAGCAAGCUGCUGUUCAACAUGGCCACUGCAGGCAAGUGGAACUGCUGGUGCCGAGGGACAACGCGGCCUGCAAGGCAGGGAGCGCCCGUGUGCUGCAGCAGGGAGGUGCUGACAGCUCAAGAAAGUUCAAGGCAUCAGUGUAAUAACAACUCCAGUUCUGAACACAAGCUUAAACCCAUGCUGCAAAUACAACUAAGUCAGAGAUCAGACUGGGAUUCUCUUAGAAGCAAAAACCAUAGCCUUUCUCUGUGUGGCGCUACUGAAGUGGUGAUCCAGCAGCAGGGCGGCAGCGGUGGAGCCUUGGUCUCCUUUGAAAACAAGAGACUGAACUGACCAUUUCCAAGAGCCUCCUUGAGUGCGCACACAGGCGGAAACACCCCUGGGACCAGCUUCUCUAACAGCCCAACCAGUGCAGCUGAGGUAAGUCCUGGAGGGAAAGAAAACUGCACCAAACACAAUCUUGCCGUGUUUAUUCACCUCUACUAUUGCACUAUGCUGCUUUCAGGAACAACAAAGCUAUCAGCUUGCUCAGAGAUGGUGAUUAAAAAAAGCACAAAUGUAGAAAAGUUAUCUGAUAAAUAUUUAAAGCUUCCGAAUUUACACUGUAAAGGAACACCUUAGGCUGCACUCUGAGCCCUCCUAAAGCCACAAAACACCCCCAACAAUUAUGUUUGCUAAACAAACAGCAAGUCCUGUAUUUUUUUAAAUUUAACUUCAAAGUUAAAACUACUCACUGAAGUGCAACAAACUGCAGUUUCUGAUUUUAAGAAUAAACUGCAUUAUUUGACUUUUUUGGUAAGAGUCUAGUGAGGUGAAAUGACUCUUAGAAAUCAAAGCUUCACAGAGAAGCUGAAAAGAUACUGAAUAAUGAUGAAAAUUAGCAUAAUGCUUAAAUAACUACUAUGGUCUAUAGAAAACAUUUAGUACUUAGCUGUAAUUGUUCCAACAUCAAUACAGUGAAUUUUGGUAAGGCCAACCAAGACCGUGUUGAAGUUAAGAAAAUCCUACUAUGAAACAGUAAAACAAACAUUUCACUCUUGAAUGUGACACCAUUAAGGAGAAUGUCCAAAUUCCAAAACAGUAAUUUCUACUGAUACCUUUGCUCUGAAAACCAGAUGCUGAGUACAGACUCCUGAUUUAGUUUUUACAAAUUUUAUCCUUGAUUGUGAAUUGCUAUUGCAUGCAGUAUUUAAGAAACUUAAACAAGUGAAUUCAUAAAACACACAGACUGUUUCAGAACAUAUAAAAUGAACAAUAUUGAAGCAAUGAACUGGAAUAAACUGUAAUUUAUAUGCUACAAUUAGUGGAUAAAAUGAUUGUCUUUGAUUCAGAUGCCUCAGUACCUUUAGUUUUUCUUCUAUUUUUAAACAUUCUCUUCCAUGUAAGAAUUAAUUUCUCAACAAGCUGUUCCCAUACUGCCACAUGGAAGCCUGUGCAAGGGAACAAAGAUGCUGUGGAAUACAUGUCUAAAACCUUGCAGCUCCCUGAAACUGAAAAAACUUCACUGAAACAUUUUCCUUUCUUCCCUCACCUUCCCCACUACCCUUAAGUCAGACUCAGUUGGGAGAGAACUCCCAGACUCAGCCUUUGCUACACAGGGUGGUAUCUGAAGGACUAAGAAGACGUUCUGCAUCUUCUGAUAAGCUGUAUGGGUACACAGGUGCUGACAGACUUUCCUCUCCCCAAAAGAAAUUUCAAAUUAUGAAUUAAAGAGAUGACUUUGCAUCAGCACUAAAAGAAGGAUAAUCACAUGCUGCAUAGAAAAAAGGUAUUUCAUAACAUCAAAGACUUGACACUGUAGAAAUCAAAUGGUGAAUAUUCACCUAGCAGGUAACGAAGUUUACUUAAUUGAUACAGGUCAGUUUAGGAUAUCCAGUUCUCUCUAUGCUCACCGGAUUCAUUUGCGAGGCACUCUGUUUCAAGAAAUCUGACUUUUAGAACUAGUAAGAAAAAACAAAACAAAACAACAGUAACUGCUGUGAAGCUAUCCAACAAUCCUUGGUAGACCUUGCAACACAGGAUUAAGGAGGGGGACACCUGGACAAAGUGUUAAAGAAAUCAAGAUACAAGACGACUUCUUGUACUAUAAAGACCUGCCAAAAUUAUAACUCUCUCUUCCAAAGAGAAAUAACGUGAUUCUCAGUACAUUCUUAAUAGAGCAGUUUGCUGAAGUUUCAAUUUUUCUAUCUCUGUUACUCCUAGGGGGAACAUCAGUGCAGACCUAUGCAAGAAAGUUAGAGAAAGACUUUUUUACUUUAAAGUAAGUUUUAUGAUAAAUAUAAAGGAUAGUUUAUAACAGUCAAGAACCACUGUUUGAUUGCCUCUACUUAUUAUCAAUUUACUUUCCUCUAUACAACAUUCCAUUGAAAUCAGAUGGGCUACUGAAGGUAACAUUCAACAACAGAAACAACUACUAGAAUGUGAUUACUUCAUUUCUAAAAUGGUUUAAGAGAUUAUGCAAGAACUAAAAUAUUUAACUCAAUCAAAAAAUAAAAGCUCUCAGUUUUUCAUAGAAUUAUAUGAAGAUAAAAAGCCCAUGUUAUUGCUAUUAUGAUAGAAAUAACAAAACAAAGUGGUCAUUUAUUUUGCAGAAUGAACAGUAUAAAUAAACUUCUGCAUGUUCUGUUUUGGUCUUCAUGUUUUGCAAUAUAUAUAUAUAUAUAUAUGAUGCUUUGUUAUCAAGCAAGGAUGAUUGCUCAUAGUUUUUUAGCUACUUAAAACAAUGGACUAAUUUUUCACUUGGACUAAGAAUGGUGCAAAU
Molecule: long non-coding RNA, 4238 nt
Organism: Dromaius novaehollandiae (emu)
Lineage: Eukaryota; Metazoa; Chordata; Aves; Casuariiformes; Dromaiidae
Exons: 12
Source: RefSeq, a predicted model, not a curated record